CGCCGGUACCACCUGCCGAAUAUGCCGGAACGACCUGAUCCACUCCCUAGAACCACUUAGUGGACACGCCAAAAUCAACUGCCGGCUACGCCAGAACCACUCGGCAGACACUCCGGAAUCACAGGCCAGGCAUUCCGGAACCACCUCUCAGAGGUGCCAGAAACAAAUGCCGGACACUCCGGUAUCACCUGCCGGGCAUGCCAGAACAACCUCUCAGAGGUGCCAGAACCACAUGCCGGACACUCCGGAAUCACCUGCCGGGCAUGCCGGAACCACCUGAUCGACUUGCCGGAACCACCGGCUCGACUCGCCGGAACACCGCCGGACAUGCAAAAUCACCUGCCGGCUACGCCAGAACCACUUGGCAAACACUCCGGAAUCACCUGUCGGGCAUGCCGGAACCACCUCUCAGACUUGCCAGAACCAUGUUCCGGACACGCCGGUACCACCUGCCGAUUAUGCCGGAACCACCUGAUCCACUCCCCAGAACCACCUGCUGGACACGCCAAUAUCACCUGCCAGGUAAGCCAGAACGAUGUGGCGGACACUCCGGAAUCACCUGUCGGGCAUGCCGGAACCAACUCUCAGACGUGCCAGAACCUCGUGCCGGUCAUGCCAGAACCACCUGCCGGACAGACCGGAAACACCUGUUGGACACUCCGGAACCACCGGCUCCACUCGCCAGAACCACCGCCGGACAUGCAAAAUGACCUGCCAGCUACUCCAGAACCACUGGGCGAACAUUCCGGAAGCACCUGCCGGGCAUGGCGGAACCACCUCUCAGACAUGCCGGAACCACAUGCCAAUGACACCGGAAGCACCUGCCGAGCACGCCAGAACCACCUGCUCGACUCGCCAAAACCACCUGCUCGAUUCGCCAAAAUGAACUGCCGGCUACGCCAGAACCACUUGGCGAACACUCUGGAAUCACCUGUCGGGCAUGCCAGAACCACCUCUCAGACUUGCCAGAACCAUGUUCCGGACACGCCGGUACCAGCUGACGAUUAUGCCGGAACCACCUGAUCCACUCCCCAGAACCACCUGCUGGACAUGCCAGAAUCACCUGCCGGCUACGCCAGAACCACUCGGCAGACACUCCGGAACCACCUGCCGGGCAUGCCGGAACCAUCUCUCUGACGUGCCAGAACCAUGUGCCUGAGAUGCCGGAACCACUCCCCGAACAGACCGAAACCACCUGCCAGACCCGCCUGAACCCCCUGGCGAGCACGCCUGAUCCACCUGCUCAACUAGCCGGAACCACCUUCCUGACACGCCAAAAUCACCUGCCAGGUAUACAAGAACAACUUGGUGGACACUCCGGAAUCAUCUGCCGGACAUGCCAGAACCAGCUCUCAGACACACCAGAACCACGUGCCAGAGACGCCGGAAGCACCAGCUGAGCAUGCCUCAGGCACCUGAUCGACUCGCAAGAUACACCUGUCGGACAUGCCAAAAUCACCUGCCGGGUACGCCAGAAACACUUGGCGGACGCUCCGUAAUCACCUGUCGGGCGUGCCGGAACCUCUUCUGAGACUUGCCAGAACCAUGUUCUGGACACGUCGGUACCACCUGCCGAGUAUGCCGGAACCAGCUGAUCCACUCCCCAGAACCACCUAGUGGACACGCCAAAAUCAACUGCCGGCUACGCCAGAACCACUCGGCAGACACUCCGGAAUCACAUGCCAGGCAUUCCGGAACCACCUCUCAGAGCUGCCAGAACCACAUGCCGGACACUCCGGAAUCACCUGCCGGGCAUGCUGGAACCACGUGCUGGUCAUGCCGGAAGCACCUGCCGGACAUGCCAGAACCACAUGCCGGACAUUCCGGAACCACCGGCUCGACUCGCCGGAACCAUUGCCGGACAUGCAAAAUCACCUGCCGGGUACGCCAGAACCACUUGGCGAACACUCCGGUAUCACCUGCCGGGCAUGCCGGAACCACCUCUCAGAGGUGCCACAACCACAUGCCGGAGACGGCGGAAGCACCUGCCGAGAAUGCCGGAAGUUCCUGAUCCACUCCCCAGAACCACCUUCCGGACAUGCCAAAAUCACCUGCUGGCUACGCCAGAACCACUUGGCGGACACUCCAGAAUCACCUGCCGGGCAUGCCAGCACAACCUCUCAGAAGUGCCAGAACCACAUGCCGGACACUCCGGAAUCACCUGCCGGGCAUGCCGGAACCAUCUCUCAGACGUGCCAGAACCAUGUUCCGGACACGCCGGUACCACCUGGCGAGCUAGCCGGAACCACCUGCUGGACAUGCCAAAAUCACCUGCCGGCUACGCCAGAACCACUUGGCGGACACUCCAGAAUCACCUGCCGGGCUUGCUGGAACCACCUGCCGGUCACGCCAACAUCACCUGCCAGCUACGCCAGAUCCACUUGGCGGACACUCCGGAAACACCUAUCGGGCCGGCCGCAACCACCUCACAGACGUGCCAGAACCCUGUGCCUGAGAUGCCGGAACCACACCCCGAACAGACCGAAACCACCUGCCAGACCCGCCUGAACCCCCUGGCGAGCACGCCUGAUCCACCUGUUCAAGUAGCCGGAACCAGCUUCCUGACACGCCAAAAUCACCUGCCAGGUAUACCAGAACCACUUGGUGGACACUCUGGAAUCAUCUGCCGGACAUGCCAGAACCUGCUCUCAGACACGCCAGAACCAUGUGCCAGAGACGCCGGAAGCACCAGCUGAGCAUGCCUGAGCCACCUGCACGACUCGCAAGAAACACCUGUCGCACAUGCCAAAAUCACCUGCCGGGUACGCCAGAAACACUUGGCGGACACUCCGGAAUCACCUGUCGGGCAUGCCGGAACCACCUCUCAGACUUGCCAGAACCAUGCUCUGGACACGCCGGUACCACCUGCCGAGUAUGCCGGAACCAGCUGAUCCACUCCCCAGAACCACCUACUGGACACACCAAAAUCAACUGCCGGCUUAGCCAGAACCACACGGCAGACACUCCGGAAUCACAUGCCAGGCAUUCCGGAACCACGUCUCAGAGGUGCCAGAACCACAUGCCAGAGACUCCGGAAUCACCUGCCGGGCAUGCCGGAACCACCUAUCAAAGGUGCCAGAACCACAUGCCGGUGACUCUGGAAUCAUCUGCCGGGCAUGCCGGAACCUUCUCUCAGACGUGCCACAACCACGUGCCGGAGAGACCGGAAGCACCUUCCGAGUUCACCGGAACCACCUGCUGGACAUGCCGGAACCACCUGCCUCACAGGCCAAAAUCUUAUCCCGGCUACGCCAAAACCAGUGGGUGGACACUGCAGAAUCACCUUACGGGCAUGCCGGAACCACGUCAUGGACACACGGAAAACAACUGCCGGAACUGCCGGAACCACCUUCCGAGCACGCCGGAACCACCUGCUCGACUCGCCAGAACCACCGCCGGACAUGCAAAAUCACCUGCCGGCUAUGCCAGAACCACUUGGCGAACACUCCCGAAUCAGCUGCCGGGCAUGCCGGAACCACCUCUCAGACUUGCCAGAACCAUGUUCUGGACACGCCGGUACCACCUACCGAGUAUGCCGGAACCAGCUGAUCCACUCCCCAGAACCACCUACUGGACAGGCCACAAUCAACUGCCGGCAAUGCCAGAACCACACGGCAGACACUCCGGAAUCUCAUGCCAGGCAUUCAGGAACAACCUCUCAGAGGUGCCAGAGCCACAUGCCGGAGACUCCGGAAUCACCUGCCGGGCAUGCCAGCACAACCUCUCAGAAGUGCCAGAAGCACGUGCCGGACAGGCCGGAACCAUCUCCCGGACAGACCGGAAACACAGGAAACACUCGCCGGAACCACCUGCUUGACUCACCGGUCCCACCUGCCGGACACGCCAAAAUCACCUGCCCGCUACACCAGAACCACUUGGUGGAAGAGCCGCAAUCACGUGAUGUCAUGCCGACACAACCUCUCAGACGUGCCAGAACCUCGUCCCGGACACCCCAGUACCACCUGCUGGACAGACCGGAACCACCUGCCGGACACGCCAGAACCACCUGCUCGACUCGCCCGAACCAUUGCCGGACAUGCAAAAUCACCUGCCGGCUACGCCUGAACCACUCGGCAGACACUCCGGAAUCACAUGCCAGGCAUUCCGGAACCUCCUCUCAGAGGCGCCAGAACCAAAUGCCGGACACUCCGGUAUCACCUGCCGGGCAUGCCGGACCCACCUCUCAGACGUGGCAGAACCAUGUGCCAGACACGCCGGAACCACCUGCCGAGUAUGCCGGAACCACCUGCUCCACUCCCCAGAACCACC
Equus caballus (horse) is the source of this 4269-nucleotide long non-coding RNA. The record is from Ensembl. Lineage: Eukaryota; Metazoa; Chordata; Mammalia; Perissodactyla; Equidae.